Ipomoea nil (Japanese morning glory) is the source of this 912-nucleotide long non-coding RNA. RefSeq lists it as uncharacterized. Lineage: Eukaryota; Viridiplantae; Streptophyta; Magnoliopsida; Solanales; Convolvulaceae. The record is from RefSeq and is a predicted model, not a curated record. The transcript has 3 exons.
AUUACCGAGGAGAACAUGCAAAGUUUGGGAUUCACAUCGGGCGCUCAGCUGCCGCCGCAUAUUCGCCCCCGCUUCUUACGUGUAUCCAGGUCCGACGCACACCCCUUGAUUGAUUUGAGCGAUUCCUCGGGGUCAUCGACCGAGGUCUUUGCCUAGCCCUCUUCCCGGUCCAUUGUUUGUCCUUCUCGCGCCUCCUCUAGAGUGAGAUCUCCUGGUAUGGCCUCGUUCCGUGAGCGCCUUGAACGUGCUGUGGAGCGCGCUCAUGCGGUGAAGAGACAGAGGGUCGUCUCGCAUCCCCAGGUUCCCCUGGCUGAGCCCAGCCGUCCGUCGCCUGCGGAGACUAGAUCACAGUCCUACCGACCUCUUCCGCCGCCGUCCGUGCCUCCCUCGCCUCCGCCUGUUUCGUCCACGCGUUACCUGCCCGUCGAUGUUGGUGAUGCGCUUUGAACUUUUCAGGCUUCCCUCGAGGAUUAGGCUGCCUCCUCCGUGGCCCGUGUUGAAGACGAGCAGAGGCGUGCCCGCGUGGUGAGCAAGGUCUUAGAGGCUGAGACUAGACGAGCUAACAAGCUUCAGAAGACUUUGGAGGUGGAGAGGAAGAGACAUGCUGAAGAGCUUGCACGCGUCAUCCCCGCCUAUAAGAGAUCUAUCUUGUUCGUUCAGGAUAUGCCGAGGCGUAUGUUUGUGAGCACAUUAAUGAGAUAGUCGCCUCCUGGUUUGCUAGUGACGCUGGGAAGGAGAUGAUGGCGAAUGAGAUUGUCGUGUCCUACCAGUUGGGAAGGUAUGAGAUGCAGCAAGGCAUCUACACCACCCUACGCCAGAAGGGCGAUACAUUCGAUCCGGAGAUCCUGGAGCUGCUGGCCAAGAUGGAGAACCCCGAGCCGGAGACGCCUGCGGAUAGGGCGGACACUGCCG